This 499-nucleotide ribosomal RNA is filed under the name uncultured Glomeromycotina. Its description in RNAcentral is "partial small subunit ribosomal RNA". It matches the Rfam family "Eukaryotic small subunit ribosomal RNA", at positions 591 to 1092 of the family's 1831-position model. Lineage: Eukaryota; Fungi; Glomeromycota. The record is from RNAcentral.
CCAAUAGCGUAUAUUAAAGUUGUUGCAGUUAAAAAGCUCGUAGUUGAAUUUCGGGAUCAGUACGCUGGUCGUGCCUCCGGUAUGUACUGGUGUCACUGAUUCCUCCCUUCUGACGAACCAUCAUGCCAUUUACUUGGUGUGGUGGGAAAUCAGGACUGUUACUUUGAAAAAAUUAGAGUGUUUAAAGCAGGCUCACGCUUGAAUACAUUAGCAUGGAAUAAUGAAAUAGGACGUUGAUCCUAUUUUGUUGGUUUCUAGGAUUGACGUAAUGAUUAAUAGGGAUAGUUGGGGGCAUUAGUAUUCAAUUGUCAGAGGUGAAAUUCUUGGAUUUAUUGAAGACUAACUACUGCGAAAGCAUUUGCCAAGGAUGUUUUCAUUAAUCAAGAACGAAAGUUAGGGGAUCGAAGACGAUCAGAUACCGUCGUAGUCUUAACCAUAAACUAUGCCGACUAGGGAUCGGAUGAUGUUAAUUUUUUAAUGACUCAUUCGGCGCCUUACG